UAACCUGCCCAAGAGAUCGGGAUAACACCUGGAAACAGAUGCUAAUACCGGAUAACAACAGAUGAUGCCUAUCAACUGUUUAAAAGAUGGUUCUGCUAUCACUCUUGGAUGGACCUGCGGUGCAUUAGCUAGUUUGUAGGGUAACGGCCUACCAAGGCUAUGAUGCAUAGCCGAGUUGAGAGACUGAUCGGCCACAUUGGGACUGAGACACGGCCCAAACUCCUACGGGAGGCAGCAGUU
This 240-nucleotide ribosomal RNA is filed under the name uncultured Lactobacillus sp. RNAcentral's name for it is "partial 16S ribosomal RNA". It matches the Rfam family "Bacterial small subunit ribosomal RNA", at positions 122 to 355 of the family's 1533-position model. The record is from RNAcentral. Lineage: Bacteria; Bacillati; Bacillota; Bacilli; Lactobacillales; Lactobacillaceae.